Molecule: long non-coding RNA, 1519 nt
Organism: Dendroctonus ponderosae (mountain pine beetle)
Lineage: Eukaryota; Metazoa; Arthropoda; Insecta; Coleoptera; Curculionidae
Exons: 3
Source: RefSeq, a predicted model, not a curated record
UUUUGGCGGUUCGAUUUUCUUUACCCAAUUUAAUAAUAUGUUCCAGUGUAAUCUUCAACUUUUUCUAUGACCUGAUUACCGAAGCGCACAACAAUAUUAUCAAGUGAAGUCAUGAUUUUUGUUUUACAUAGGUUCAUGGUUAGCCCUAAUUUUUAAAAACAAUUCUGAGCUCUUCCAGCCUUUCCUGUAAUUCACCAACAUCCUGACUGUUCUUUUCUGUAUCCCGUCAAUAGUUCUUAUAUCUCGAAUCAACUCUUGCAUUAUUUGGGGCUUCAAAGAUAGCAUAGUUCUACGGAGUCAAACGCCUUAUUAUAGUCACCGAAGAUGUAGUGGUUCGUUGUAUUCGUUGCAUUUUUCUACUAACGAUCAGAUUGACGGCAUGUGUUCAAUUGUACUAAAGCCUUUACGGAAUCAAGCCUGUUCAGAAGGUUGGUAAUCAUCUAAUUUGUUGUAGAUAUAUACGGACUCGGGACUGUUACAAUAACGAAAGGCAGUGCAAACCGGCUACGGGUUCUCCAGGGGGCAAUGGAAAGACGGGGGCUGAACGUGAGCCUCAGAGAUAAAGUCAAGAAUGAGGAGAUCUGGAGGAAAACAAGACUCAAGAAUGUAAUGAAACAGAUUCCUAGCAUGAUGAGAGAAAUGAUGUAAAAUGGACGAAAAAAGUCAUGCAAUGGAGACCCAAACAAUCUAAGCGAGAGUGGACCGACCGAAAGAAAGAUGGCGUAACUAAAUUCAACGCCAAUCCUGAACGAAUUGGAUGAAGACAGCCCAGGGCAGACAAGCAAAGAGAGGGAUGGAAGGGGCGUACGUUCCGGAGUGGAUGUGCAUGGGCUGAUAUGAUGAUGAGACUAAUGAAGGCCAUUGACAGCAUGAAUAUGGGAACAUCUACUGCAUCACCAUCAUCAUCAUCAUCAUCGUCAAUCAGCCUAUUGUCAUCUGCUGCUGCACAAAGGCCUCUCCCAGUGUCUUCCAUCUGUUCCAGUUUUGUGCCUCUCCGAUCAAUUCCCCGCAGCUCUUCUGAGAUCGUCUGUCCAUCGGGUUGGCGGCCGUACUCUGCUGCGGUUGUCAGCGCGCGGUCUCCAUUCGAGUAUUUUUUAGUCCAUCGGUCGUUCCGCAUUCUAGCUACAUCCCAUUUCAAUUUCUGCUUUGCCACAUGCUCGAUCACAUCGGUCACUUCUGUUCUUCGCCUUAUCUCGUCGUUCGUGACGUGAUUCCUCAGUGAUAUCCCAAGCAUUGAUCUUUCCAUUUUUCGUUGACGUUAAAUCCCAAACAACAAUAAAAAUUAAUUGGACAUCGAGAUCUGGUCUAAAAGAGUGCUAAGUGUCCAUGGUACCCUUUUCGGCUAUCCUAUGGGUGUAAUAAUUUCGCCAUCCAUUGGACAUCCGAAAAGGUUUCAUCAAGGAAAAGGAUCAGUGAAGUUGCAGCAGUUCGUCAAAAUAUUCUGCCCACAACAAAAGUAACUGACGAAACUCGACCAGAACUGGUUAAGGCGAGUGUAUGGGAUCCUAAAAUAUGAACU